UAAUUGUGAAAUCCCAAAGCUUAACUUUGGAACUGCAAUUAAAACUGCUCGACUAGAGUUUGAUAGAGGAAAGCGGAAUACAUAGUGUAGAGGUGAAAUUCGUAGAUAUUAUGUAGAACACCAGUUGCGAAGGCGGCUUUCUGGAUCAACACUGACGCUGAGGCGCGAAAGUAUGGGUAGCAAAGAGGAUUAGAUACCCUCGUAGUCCAUACCAUAAACGAUGAUUGCUAGAUGUUGGAAAUUUAUUUUCAGUAUCGCAGCUAACGCAUUAAGCAAUCCGCCUGGGGAGUACGACCGCAAGGUUAAAACUCAAAUGAAUUGACGGGGACCCGCACAAGCGGUGGAGCAUGUGGUUUAAUUCGAAGAUACGCGCAGAACCUUACCAACCCUUGACAUGUCUGUCGCGAGUUUAGGAAACUAGACUUUUCGGUUCGGCCGGACAGAACACAGGUGCUGCAUGGCUGUCGUCAGCUCGUGUCGUGAGAUGUUGGGUUAAGUCCCGCAACGAGCGCAACCCCUACUUUUAGUUGCCAUCAGGUCAUGCUGGGCACUCUGAAAGAACUGCCAGUGAUAAGCUGGAGGAAGGUGGGGAUGACGUCAAGUCCUCAUGGCCCUUACGGGUUGGGCUACACACGUGCUACAAUGGUAGUGACAAUGAGAUGCAAAGUGGCGACGCUAAGCUAAACUCAAAAAUCUACCUCAGUUCGGAUUGCACUCUGCAACUCGAGUGCAUGAAGC
This 738-nucleotide ribosomal RNA is filed under the name uncultured bacterium. RNAcentral's name for it is "bacterial SSU rRNA". It matches the Rfam family "Bacterial small subunit ribosomal RNA", at positions 589 to 1326 of the family's 1533-position model. The record is from RNAcentral.